RNAcentral lists this ribosomal RNA (2745 nucleotides) under Burkholderia mallei 2002721280. RNAcentral describes it as "23S ribosomal RNA". Lineage: Bacteria; Pseudomonadati; Pseudomonadota; Betaproteobacteria; Burkholderiales; Burkholderiaceae. The record is from RNAcentral.
CCUGCGGGACGCCGGUUACUGGGGCGAGCACGUGCGCCAGCCCGUGCAAUUUCACGCGGGGGUGCGCACGCUGCUCGAUGCGCUCGACGCGCCGAUAUUUGUCGAAGUCGGGCCGGGGCGCGCGCUGGGCAAUCUGAUCGGCGGCUGGGCGGGGCUCGGGCCGCAGCGGAUCGUCUCGACGCUGCCGCACGCGCGCGAGCGCAGGGACGACAUGGCGGCGGCGUUGCGAGGCGUCGGCACGCUGUGGGCGCAGGGCGUCGACGUGAACUGGGCCGGCCUGCAUGCGCCGGGCGCGGCGCAUCGCGCUGCCGACCUAUCCGUUCGAGCGUACGCGCCACUGGAUCGAGCGGCCGGCGGGCGCGCGCGCGGCGCCGGCGCGCGAAGCCGACGGCGUGCCGAUGCGGCGCGGCGAGGACGCGGCCGACGGCAGCCUCACCGUGUCGUUUGCGCUGCACGAGCGGCUCUGGUUUCUCGAUGAACACCGGAUCUUCGACGGCGCGCCGGUGCUGCCCGGCACCGCCUGCAUCGAACUCGUGCGGCGCGCGUAUUCGCUCGUGCGCCCGGGCGCGGCGGUGACGAUGCGCGACGUCUAUUUUCCGACGGCGCUGAUUCUGUCGACGGACGAAUCGCGCAACGUGCGCGUCGUGUUCCGGCCGCCGGAACGCGUGUCGGACGGCGCGGCCGCCGGGGGCGACCUCGCGUUCGUGCUCGAAUCGAACGACGCGAACGGGCCCGCCGGAUGGACGCCGCACGCGAGCGGGCGCAUCGGGGACGAUCCGCCGGCGUGCGCCGCGCCCGCUUCGCUCGCCGCGCUUGCCGCUCUCGACGCUCCGGCCGCGCUGCGCGAGCAAUGGGGGCUCACGGCGCUGGACGACGUCGCCGCGCUGUCCGCGCAGGCGUUCGCCGAUUACGGGGCGCGCUGGCACGGCGUCGACGCGCUCUGGCUCGGCGAACGGGCCGGGCUCGCGCGGCUCAGGCUGCCGGCCGCCGGCAGCGGCGACUUGCCCGAUUUCGCGCUGCAUCCGGCCAUGCUCGACGUCGCCACGGCGUUCCUGCCCGCCUGCCUGCGCCCGCGCGACGCGUCGGUGCCGUUCCGCUACGAAUCGAUCCGCAUGCACCGGCCGCUGCGCGCCGAUUGCUACAGCUUCGCCGUCGAGACCGCGCCGAACGUGUACGACGUCACGCUGUUCGCAUGGGACGAGGCCGCGCGGCGCGCCGACGUGCUCGUCGCGAUCGGCGGCUUCGCGCGCCGCGAGCCGGCGCACCGGGCGCGCGACGUCGCGCAGUGGUGCCGCACGGUGAGCUGGCGCGACGCGCCCGCGGCGCGCGCGUUGCCGCCCGAGCGCUGGCUCGUGUUCGGCGACGAAUGGUUCGCGCUCGCGCCCGCCGGCAGCGUGCUCGUGCGCGAGGACGACGCGUUUCGCGCGCACGGCGACAACGGCUAUGGCGUGCGCCCGGGCGAGAAGGCCGAUUGCGACCGGCUGAUCGCGCGGCUCGCCGAGCAGGGCGGCGUGCCGGCGCACGUCGUCUACGGCUGGGCGCAGACGGACGUCGAUCGCGCGUUCGCCGGGCUCGCCGCGUUGCUGCAGGCGCUGGGCGCGCAUCCCGCCGAUUUUCGCGUGUCGCUCGUGACGAAGGGCGCGCGCUCGGCGCGCACGCUGGACGCAUGCGCGGCCGCCGCGCCGGCGGGCUUGCUCAAGGCGGUGCGCUGGGAAUAUCCGCGCAUCGUGUGCCGCCACAUCGAUAUCGACGAUGCAAGCGACGCGACGAUCGACGCGUUGCGCGCGGAGCUGUCGUCCGAGCCCGCCACGCCGCCCGGCGCGCCGCCCGAGCUGCCGAGCAGCAUCGCGCUCGCCGGCGCGCGCCGCGAGGCGCCCGGCUUCGCGGCGCUGCCGGACGUCGCGCGCGACGACGUCCUGCGCGACGGCGGUGCGUAUCUGAUCACGGGCGGCGCGAGCGGCAUCGGCCUCGAGCUGGCGGCGCACAUCGCGUCGCGGCGGCGGGACGUGAGGCUGGCGUUGCUGAGCCGCUCGCCGCAUGACGAAAACGCCGCGCGGUUCGCCGCGCUGGACGAGGCCGCCGCGAGCGUGCUGCGGUUGACGGCCGACGUCGCGCACGCCGCGCAGCUCGCCGACGCGCUGCGCACGGUGCGCGCGCGCUUCGGGCGCAUCGACGGCGUCAUCCAUGCGGCCGGCGUCGAGGCGAGCGGCCUGCUCGAAACCGGCACGCCCGACGCAUGGCGGCGCGUGAUGGCGGCGAAGGUUCACGGCGCGCGACACCUGUUCGACCAACUGGCCGGCGAUCCGCCCGAUUUCAUCGUGCUCUGCUCGUCGCUCGCCGCGGUCGUCGGCGGCCUCGGGCAGGCCGACUACGCGGCGGCGAACGGUUACAUGGACGCGCUCGCGCAGCACUGGCGCCAACGCGGCGUCGCGGCCAUCGCGAUCGAUUGGGAUACGUGGUCGGACACGGGCAUGGCGUUCGACCACGCGGCGCGCACGCGCCGCUCGAAUGACCGCCCGGGCGCGCUGCCCGGCCUCGCGAACCGCGAAGGGCGGGCGCUCUUCGAUCUCGCGCUCGCGCACGACGCGCCGCGCAUCGUUAUCAGCAAGCGGGGCUUCGAACAGGACCGGCGCGACGCGCCCACGCGCGCGCGGCGCGCGGCCGCCCCGGGCGACGCGCAGGCGGCGCUCGUCGCGCUCUGGCAGGAACUGCUGGGCGUCGAGCAGGUGGGCGUCGACGACGACU